RNAcentral lists this long non-coding RNA (296 nucleotides) under Selaginella moellendorffii. RNAcentral describes it as "long non-coding RNA (SMOE_LNC001780)". Lineage: Eukaryota; Viridiplantae; Streptophyta; Lycopodiopsida; Selaginellales; Selaginellaceae. The record is from RNAcentral.
ACAUUUGGUAUCAGAGGGGUCUUGGGUCCGACUCUGUUGGUUGGCUAAGGGAAUCGCACCACAUGUUGAUUGACAUCUGGCUGGUCCAGUUUGCUCCCGCUGGGCUCGACCCGAGGGGUAGGGUGUCAAGAGAGCGGGGCUCUCGGGAGAGCUGCGGCUCUCAGCUUCCGUUCACGAGGGCGUGAACUUGCAGGGAAGCGUGGUGGAUUGUAAGCAACCAAAGGGAACGACUUGAGAGACGAUCCGUUGGGGUUCAAAUAUAGAGGGAAAAGGCCCAUGAAUAAGAGUGCACCCCC